Molecule: non-coding RNA, 106 nt
Organism: Gossypium arboreum
Lineage: Eukaryota; Viridiplantae; Streptophyta; Magnoliopsida; Malvales; Malvaceae
Source: Rfam
AAUCCAUGAUGAGGACACCUUUACAGUAGGUCCUUGUCUUUCUCCCAUCCAUCGUAAAGAGUUUCUAAGUCCAUCUGCACAAACGAAGAGAUAUCAUUAUGUAACU